This 558-nucleotide ribosomal RNA is filed under the name Astylosternus perreti. Its description in RNAcentral is "partial 16S ribosomal RNA". It matches the Rfam family "Bacterial large subunit ribosomal RNA", at positions 1829 to 2600 of the family's 2925-position model. Lineage: Eukaryota; Metazoa; Chordata; Amphibia; Anura; Arthroleptidae. The record is from RNAcentral.
CGCCUCUUGACAAAACAUAAGAGGUCCCGCCUGCCCGGUGACUAAAUUUAACGGCCGCGGUACCCUAACCGUGCGAAGGUAGCACAAUCACUUGUUCCUUAAAUAGGGACUAGUAUGAACGGCACCACGAAGACUAUACUGUCUCCCCCCUAUAAUCAGUGAAACUGAUCUCCCCGUGAAGAAGCGGGGAUGAACCUAUAAGACGAGAAGACCCCAUGGAGCUUUAAACUCAGUACCACCUACUUUUCACGACUCCAUAAUAACCCAGUAUGCAUGACUACUAGUUUUUGGUUGGGGUGACCGCGGAGUAAAACUUAACCUCCACAAUGAAUGGAACUAAUCUCCUAAUUCUAGACCCACACCUCAAAAAAUUAAAACAUUAACAUAAUUUGACCCAAACCUAUUGAUCAACGAACCAAGUUACCCUGGGGAUAACAGCGCAAUCCAUUUUAAGAGCCCCUAUCGACAAAUGGGUUUACGACCUCGAUGUUGGAUCAGGGUAUCCUAGUGGUGCAGCCGCUACUAAAGGUUCGUUUGUUCAACGAUUAAAACCCUACG